ACGCUGGCGGCAGGCCUAACACAUGCAAGUCGAGCGGUAGAGAGAAGCUUGCUUCUCUUGAGAGCGGCGGACGGGUGAGUAAUGCCUAGGAAUCUGCCUGGUAGUGGGGGAUAACGUUCGGAAACGGACGCUAAUACCGCAUACGUCCUACGGGAGAAAGCAGGGGACCUUCGGGCCUUGCGCUAUCAGAUGAGCCUAGGUCGGAUUAGCUAGUUGGUGAGGUAAUGGCUCACCAAGGCGACGAUCCGUAACUGGUCUGAGAGGAUGAUCAGUCACACUGGAACUGAGACACGGUCCAGACUCCUACGGGAGGCAGCAGUGGGGAAUAUUGGACAAUGGGCGAAAGCCUGAUCCAGCCAAGCCGCGUGUGUGAAGAAGGUCUUCGGAUUGUAAAGCACUUUAAGUUGGGAGGAAGGGCAUUAACCUAAUACGUUAGUGUUUUGACGUUACCGACAGAAUAAGCACCGGCUAACUCUGUGCCAGCAGCCGCGGUAAUACAGAGGGUGCAAGCGUUAAUCGGAAUUACUGGGCGUAAAGCGCGCGUAGGUGGUUUGUUAAGUUGGAUGUGAAAUCCCCGGGCUCAACCUGGGAAUUGCAUUGGAGACUGCAAGGCUAGAAUCUGGCAGAGGGGGGUAGAAUUCCACGCGUAGCAGUGAAAUGCGUAGAUAUGUGGAGGAACACCGAUGGCGAAGGCAGCCCCCUGGGUCAAGAUUGACGCUCAUGCACGAAAGCGUGGGGAGCAAAC
This 745-nucleotide ribosomal RNA is filed under the name uncultured bacterium. RNAcentral describes it as "bacterial SSU rRNA". It matches the Rfam family "Bacterial small subunit ribosomal RNA", at positions 33 to 773 of the family's 1533-position model. The record is from RNAcentral.